Molecule: non-coding RNA, 29 nt
Filed under: Homo sapiens (human)
Lineage: Eukaryota; Metazoa; Chordata; Mammalia; Primates; Hominidae
Source: RNAcentral
UGGGCGCUUCACCCUGAACCUAAGCCUGC